This 253-nucleotide ribosomal RNA is filed under the name uncultured bacterium. RNAcentral describes it as "partial 16S ribosomal RNA". It matches the Rfam family "Bacterial small subunit ribosomal RNA", at positions 524 to 776 of the family's 1533-position model. The record is from RNAcentral.
UACGUAGGGGGCAAGCGUUGUCCGGAAUCAUUGGGCGUAAAGAGCGUGUAGGCGGCCCGAUAAGUCCGCUGUGAAAGUCCAGGGCUCAACCCUGGAAUGCCGGUGGAUACUGUCGGGCUCGAAUCCGGAAGAGGUGAGUGGAAUUCCUGGUGUAGCGGUGAAAUGCGCAGAUAUCAGGAGGAACACCCAUAGCGAAGGCAGCUUGCUGGGACGUUACUGACGCUAAGGCGCGAAAGCGUGGGGAGCGAACAGG